This 253-nucleotide ribosomal RNA is filed under the name uncultured bacterium. Its description in RNAcentral is "partial 16S ribosomal RNA". It matches the Rfam family "Bacterial small subunit ribosomal RNA", at positions 524 to 776 of the family's 1533-position model. The record is from RNAcentral.
GACGUAGGGGGCAAGCGUUAUUCGGAAUCAUUGGGCGUAAAGCGCUCGUAGGCGGGAAGGCAAGUCCGUGUUGAAAGACCUCGGCUCAACUGAGGGACCGGCUCGGAUACUGCUUUUCUUGAGGCAAUCAGAGGGUAAUGGAAUUCCCGGUGUAGCGGUGAAAUGCGUAGAUAUCAGGAGGAACACCGGUGGCGAAGGCGGGUCUCUGGGCAGUAACUGACGCUGAGGAGCGAAAGCGUGGGGAGCGAACAGG